AAAAAGUUGGGUUAGGUUCAUCUACAACUGAGACUGGAAAAGGAAAGAGUAAGAUGUCAAAGCACUUAACACAUGGAUAUCACUUGGUAAAGGGGAAAUCAUAUCAUGACAUGGAAGAUUAUGUUUUUGCACAAUUUAAGCAAGUUGAGGACAAAGAGCUUGGUCUAUUUGCAAUAUUUGAUGGUCAUUCGAGCCACGAUAUUCCUGAUUACUUGCGGUCUCAUCUGUUUGAGAAUAUACUAAACGAGGUAACAUAUAAUUGUGAAUAAUUUGCUUUUGUACUUCUCAUUUUCUCAAACUAAAUUUAACUGAACUAAUACAAUAUUUUGAAUUUGGUCUAUUAGUCAUGUGUAAAUAUGAAUAUAGACCAAUUCAUGAAUAAGAGGUGAUACCUAAUUGUCUUCUUUCCUGUUCUCUCCUUUUCAUCUGAAUUUGGUAGUAAAUAAUGAUUCCAAUCAUUCUCUCCUUUUCUCUUGCUGCAACCUGCCCGAUUUCUGGACUGAGACAGAGAAGGCAGUCAGAAGAGCAUAUCGUAUAACUGACAAAAUGAUAUUGGAUAAAGCAGCUGAUUUUGGUAAAGGG
Molecule: long non-coding RNA, 582 nt
Filed under: Panax ginseng (ginseng)
Lineage: Eukaryota; Viridiplantae; Streptophyta; Magnoliopsida; Apiales; Araliaceae
Description: long non-coding RNA (PGIN_LNC011274)
Source: RNAcentral